GGUUCGAUUCGAGCGAAAGCGAGAAAGCGUUGCCGCAGGCAACGACCCGAAGGGCGAAGCGCGCAGCGCUGAGUAAUCCUUCCCCCACCACCA
Molecule: small RNA, 93 nt
Filed under: Salmonella enterica
Lineage: Bacteria; Pseudomonadati; Pseudomonadota; Gammaproteobacteria; Enterobacterales; Enterobacteriaceae
Also listed under: 2 other names
Description: partial RtT sRNA
Rfam family: RtT RNA
About the family: This family represents a bacterial cis-regulatory element known as RtT RNA. The exact function of RtT is unknown although it is thought that it may be involved in changing the cellular response in relation to amino acid starvation.
Source: RNAcentral